RNAcentral lists this ribosomal RNA (442 nucleotides) under uncultured bacterium. Its description in RNAcentral is "partial 16S ribosomal RNA". It matches the Rfam family "Bacterial small subunit ribosomal RNA", at positions 338 to 795 of the family's 1533-position model. The record is from RNAcentral.
CCUACGGGAGGCAGCAGUGGGGAAUAUUGGGCAAUGGGCGCAAGCCUGACCCAGCAACGCCGCGUGAAGGAAGAAGGCUUUCGGGUUGUAAACUUCUUCUAAGAGGGAAGAGCAGAAGACGGUACCUCUUGAAUAAGCCACGGCUAACUACGUGCCAGCAGCCGCGGUAAUACGUAGGUGGCAAGCGUUGUCCGGAUUUACUGGGUGUAAAGGGCGUGCAGCCGGGAAGACAAGUCAGAUGUGAAAGCCCGCGGCUCAACCGCGGAACUGCAUUUGAAACUGUUUUUCUUGAGUACCGGAGAGGUCAUCGGAAUUCCUUGUGUAGCGGUGAAAUGCGUAGAUAUAAGGAAAAACACCAGUGGCGAAGGCGGAUGACUGGACGGCAACUGACGGUGAGGCGCGAAAGCGUGGGGAGCAAACAGGAGUAGAUACCCUGGUAGUC